This 4751-nucleotide long non-coding RNA is filed under the name Brassica rapa (field mustard). RNAcentral's name for it is "long non-coding RNA (BRAP_LNC006069)". Lineage: Eukaryota; Viridiplantae; Streptophyta; Magnoliopsida; Brassicales; Brassicaceae. The record is from RNAcentral.
GCUCUUCAAGACGAAUGUAAUCAUACAUAAGACCUUCAAACGGCCCCACCGCUUUAGACUGACGUAGAUAGAUUGUGUUGGUCCCGGUUCUUAGUAACCUUCCAGGUACAUCAAUGCUAUAAAGAUGGUAGGCUCCAUGGAUUCCAUGUCUUGCUAUAGCAUUAUCUCUUCCGACACCCGCAGAUAACAAUGGCCGAGAGUAUUCGUUGUUGAACCGUACUUUUAAGUUAGCCCGUGCAGCCGAAGCUAAAGCUAUUUGCAAUGUGUAGCUACCUCGCCAGUUCACAUAUGGAAGUUCAAAAACAAUCUGCCAUGUCGCUGGUACAUAGGUCGAACCACCAAUGUUCCUGCAGUAAAAAGAAUUGAAUAUUAAUUUCGAAAUACUUGAAAUUCUAUAAAACUUUUUUGUUUAUAUGAUUUGGUUUUACCUUGUGACGUGAGCGUAGAACCAGUCUUGACUAUAGUUACUAACUCCAACUGUGUAGACGAGAUCAUGGUUUGGAUAUAACUCCGUGUAACGUUGCCAUAACCCAUACUGCCUAAACCUGUGGAGCAAACAGCAAAACCGGAAUCAUUAGUACCAAAAACCGGUUUCGGAACAGUGUUAACUGGGAUCAUGACGGUUAAAGACUUACUUGUCAGUGUGGUUUAAGUAUAACGGGUUCAUUGUAUUCUCGUAUGGUUCCGGUACAAAGUAUUCUCUGGCGGUUCGGUCCGGUACACCAAUCUCCCAUAACGUUGGACCAUUCCUAGGAGGCUGGAACACAACUCUAUCAAGACUUAUCUCUGAACCUGCAGCUACGUUAACUAGGUUUUGGUAUUUGAAGUCUCCGAUAAAACCAUGAACCCAUCCGUAUAGAUUAUACGUUCCCGGUCUAACGUUAUCAAUGGUGAAAUAGCCGGUUUCGUUGGUCUGUGUCCAAAAUUGGUAUCCCUGCAUAAACACAAAAUAAUAUUUAACGAUCAACGCAUGUAAUUUAAUGAUUUUGUUAAACUAAAGUUAAAUCAAAAUUAAAGAAAAGACGUCAAAGUGUAACAAUGAUAGACCUUAGUAUUUGUUUGCCAUGAACCAGCUUCUCCUGGCGGUGCUAAACCGAUGUAUGCAUAUCCUGCCGGAGCCAAGAACCUUGAAAACGUUUCCCAAGAUUUUAAACAUUAUAAAAAGUCAAAAGUAAAUAUUUAUUAAUAUUAUUUUGGACUUGUGUAUGUAAAUAUACCUGUCGUUGACAAAGAGUCGACCGGUAAUGGUUCCUCUUUCUUGACGAGUAGGAAAGUCAGAGGACGCUACAAAACCGUACGGCCAUGCUUCAACUUCUUGUUCGGUCUGAAGAUUAAGAAAACGAGAUUAACGUCUCUUCUUUAAUAAGUUACGUAUUAAAAUAAAGAUUAUAACAAAACUAUAGUAAACCUGUCGUUUAGCAUCUUCCCAUAACAAAUGUUGUAGAUUAUUGCGGGUGGAAUCAGAGUUUAAGUAGAUGAAUACAGGUCCCAAGACCUUUUUCCACGCUUCACCAGUUUUGUACCUUGUCUCCAUGUCCGGACCAACAUAAUGCUGGCUUAUAAAGGUCUGCAUUAUUACAAGAUUAAAAACUAUUAUUUUCUAAUUAAUUUUGAAAAUUAAGAUUAAUUAGUUUUGGAUCAAUCCUUACCGUGAGGGUCGUGGGACCGACGUGAGACGUGAGCUCCUGUUUGACCGGUCCACCAGAGCGGUAUUCACCGCUCGGUGAGAUGAGCCAGAAACCAACAUUGGACUUGGUCGAUAUCCAACCAUGCACCUUGUUGUCCUUGACCUCACAUGAGUACUGGUAUUUAUCAUCCACCUAAUAUUAUUCAAUUUAAAUGUUCAAUACUCGAGUUAAGUUUAAAGAUUUCUAAUCCUUGUCUAUCAUAUAUUCAGUUUUAGAGCUUUUUAAUUGUAUAUAAAAACUAAUUACCUGGUUUUUGAACAUAUGGUUGUGAGGAUUAGUCAAUUUGACAGCCUCUUUGUAAGCAAGGGGCUUGGCACGGCCACUGUGGAUGUCACGGUCAUCGUCUGUUGGCAUUUGUCUUUGCCGAUUAUCUGCCACCACCAUGUAAUGGAAUCUACAAACAUAUUUACACCAAUUUUUAAUAAACUUUAUUAUUCAAACAAAUAACAUGAAUAUCAUCGAUUCUCUUAUAAAGAAAACAUAUAAAAAUACCUAUCAGGGUUGAGUUUGAAUGCGACUCGAAUUAGACCCAUCUCCACUUCUGGCCAUUCGGGUUGUCUCUCAAAAAUUCCAUAAGUGUAGAUUCCUGAAGUAUUCGUACGUAUAAUAUACCUCUUGUCUACGUUUAAUGGAAUAUGAUCAGAACCACCAUUCCAUGUUCGGGAGAAAGAAAUCUCCACUUGUUCUUCGUUUUGAGUUAUGAUUCUAAAGUUGGUUCCUUCGAUUCUGUUGAACAAAGAUAAAAUAGCUUCGUAAAUUACAAAAAGGCUAUAUUAUUCUUGAAAAUAAAUUAUCAAACCAAUUGAUACAUGCUGUACAAAUGUGAACAUGUUCAACUGACAAUUCUAGACAAAUUAUUAAAUUAAAUAGUUAAUUACCUAUCCAGCUUUGGGAGACUGUUGUUUUCUGUUUGCCAUGUUAUGUCCCAGUACCUGAUAAACAUUACAGCAGAAUUAAGUAAGCAGGACAAUUUUCAUAUAUUAUUUGAUUAUUACAAUAUAAAAUUGCUGAAAUUAUUUACCCUCGAGCUCGGAGAUAUGGAUUAAGAACAUUGCCGAUUUCAUUGUAUUUGAUCCCAGUUAUUAAUCCUUUAGGAUUCGAGAAAGUCACUCUCACAAUUCCAUUGUCCACUAUCACCUGAAAGAAAUAAGUAAUUUAUAUUAGUUAUUUUUUCAGCUCUUAAUGUAUAUAUGCAUGAUAUUUUCUACUAUUAUUGAUUGAAGACAUGGUGUACAUACCUCUUUGUUUCUUAUCUGCUGCACUGUUGGAGCUCUUGCAUUUGUUCCCUUUAAGUUUCUGUAGAAGUUCAAUAAUAACAAAUAAAUAACGUUAAUGAACUGAAUUGAAAACGCUCAGUACACAUACUUACAAUUAAUUGAGUUAAUUAUAACGCAUUGAAGGUUUGUUUCGAAUGUUAGCUAGACACAAAUAAAGAACUGAAUAACCUUCAAGGACCUUUUGGUUAAUCAAAUUUUCUAUGUCAAAGUUUAUAAUAUCUUCAAACUCAUGCGUGCUAAAACAAACGUAAUAUGCAUGAGAUUUGAGAAACAUGUAUACUUUGUGCGCAUACAUAUAUGUGUAUGUGUAUGCUUGACCGUAACGUAACAUAUCACGAAGAUCAAAAGAUAAACUGACCUUGUCGGCUCAGAAAAAGCUAUCGGAAGAAGAAGCAACAGAAGGAAACAUAUCAUCCACGAAGCUAUCGUCUUCUGCGAAAUCAUCUUCUUUUUCCAAAUCUCAAGAUCGAAUUUAAUGUAAGAAUAAUAUGUUUGCGGAGACAUCCAUAUUUAUAUGUGUGGUUUAUUUUCUUGUUAAACAAAGUCCAAGACUAAACGGGAAUAGGUGCACCAAAACCUAACUAGGAUCGGAGUUACUUUGACUUAUGACAUUAGAGUUCUAAUAUGACUCGGUGUCAUAUAAGAACACGGAAAAGAUUUGAGUUUCCUGUUUUUGAUUGUCCUUUUUAUUUCCUUAUUUUUUCUCAUAAUACAUAAUUUAUUUAAUGGAAAACCUUCCUGAUGAAAAUUAAAUUAGUAAAGAGUUGUUGUAUUGCAUUCAAAAUUAAAUUAUUGUGAAGUUUUGUAUUACAUUCACGAUGAACGUAACAAGUUGUUGUAACAUUGGAUUUUAUUGCAUGUUUUAAUUUUGUUACAAAAGAUAUUUAAAAUUUUGUUUUUUAAUAUUUCAUGUAUAUUAAAGCUGUUUAAAGCUGUUUCAUGUAGAUUAAAGCUGUUUUCUCCAUGAAAGAGAUACAGAGGAAGAAGAAGAGAAGAUAGAAACAGAGCCUGAGAAGUUAUGUUAUUGGCCCUAGUUUUUUAAUAUAAUGGGCUUUUAGUUCAAACCCUGAGAAUUGCUCUAUUCAUGCUUUAAUCUGUUCCGGUUUGUAAGAACCAAAAUAUAAACUUGAAUACUUAUUACAAAUCCAAAUCAGUUUCAUAAAUAGUAUCUUAAAAGAAACAUCUCAAAAUCAGUAAAUCUUUAAAAGCACCUCCAUCAGUAAGAAACAAUGUAAGUUCCUAAAAUUAAAAAAAAAUAUUAAUAUUAUAAUUAUUUUUUUAUUUUUUAUCUUCUUAAAACCAAUUAAAUCAUUUUUCCUUCUUAAUAGAUUGACAAGUGUCCUUUGAGUAUACUAAUAGUUUCUUAAAACCUAUAAGUUUAAGAAUCUUACACACUUUCUCUCUUCUAAUUUUUUUUUUUAUUAAAAUCUUUAGGACUAUGCAAGAUAUAAUCUCCUAACAAUUGUAUAAAAGAAAUCAAUGAAAAAAAAUCAAAUAUUAUAUAAUGUCUAGUAUGAAUCUAAGCUGUAGAAGGCUCUUCAAGACGAAUGUAAUCAUACAUAAGACCUUCAAACGGCCCCACCGCUUUAGACUGACGUAGAUAGAUUGUGUUGGUCCCGGUUCUUAGUAACCUUCCAGGUACAUCAAUGCUAUAAAGAUGGUAGGCUCCAUGGAUUCCAUGUCUUGCUAUAGCAUUAUCUCUUCCGACACCCGCAGAUAACAAUGGCCGAGAGUAUUCGUUGUUGAACCGUACUUUUAAGUUAGCCCGUGCAGCCGAAGCUAAAGC